AAAGCAGGCCAGGAUGGUUGCCACGCUGUUCGACAACAGCGCGGAGGAAAGUCCGGGCUCCGAAGGAUAAUGCAUCCUGGUAAUUCAGGACGUUAUCAGUGGUCAGUGCUCAGUGUUCAGUGGUCAGAAAAUUUUCUGACCGCUGGGCACUGAUAACUGAUCACUGGUAAGAGGAUUAGAGCUACAGAGACGAGUUGCCUGCCGCCUUUACUUUGCUUCGCAAACUAAAGGCGAAGCGCAAACAGGCAAGUGAAACGAGCAAUCUCUGCAUGGAGCAAGGCCGAAUAGGGGAAGAGUAUUGACAGGGUUUUCGGUAACUUUAGGUCAAUACGCGAAGUGAUCCGCUUCGUUCGGAUUCCCGGGUAGGCCGCAAGAGUCCAUCGAGCCGAAAGGCGAGACCCUGAACCUAAUGCGGUGGAGGGGGGAGUAAUCCUUGGAGUUAGUUGAAUAACCGUCACCUCUUUUUAGAGGGACAAAACCCGGCUUAUUGGCCUGCUUUUUUA
Molecule: RNase P RNA, 503 nt
Filed under: Candidatus Omnitrophota bacterium
Lineage: Bacteria; Pseudomonadati; Candidatus Omnitrophota
Description: Candidatus Omnitrophica bacterium RNase P RNA component class A
Rfam family: Bacterial RNase P class A
About the family: Ribonuclease P (RNase P) is a ubiquitous endoribonuclease, found in archaea, bacteria and eukarya as well as chloroplasts and mitochondria.
Source: RNAcentral